AAAAAAAAAAAAAGCAAGAUCCAACUCCCUUCCUCUUGGCUUUCGAUCUUGCAUCUCAUUCCAGCUCUGUGAGGUUGUGACGAGAAAUCAUCUCCUUGAUUUCAUUUGACAAACCUCCUUGAUUUCAUUCCUCUGCCGCCUAACAAGAAGAUCUAUAGACGGUCUUCUCACUUCAUUCCUUGAGGCAAAGACGAGAAAGUAAUGGUGUGUUUGAGUUUU
Molecule: unclassified non-coding RNA, 219 nt
Filed under: Hevea brasiliensis (rubber tree)
Lineage: Eukaryota; Viridiplantae; Streptophyta; Magnoliopsida; Malpighiales; Euphorbiaceae
Source: RNAcentral